AAUGAGAUAAGUCCGGUCG
RNAcentral lists this small nuclear RNA (19 nucleotides) under Arabidopsis thaliana (thale cress). RNAcentral's name for it is "snRNA_02354". The record is from RNAcentral. Lineage: Eukaryota; Viridiplantae; Streptophyta; Magnoliopsida; Brassicales; Brassicaceae.